This 252-nucleotide ribosomal RNA is filed under the name uncultured bacterium. RNAcentral describes it as "partial 16S ribosomal RNA". It matches the Rfam family "Bacterial small subunit ribosomal RNA", at positions 524 to 776 of the family's 1533-position model. The record is from RNAcentral.
UACGGAGGAUGCGAGCGUUAUCCGGAUUUAUUGGGUUUAAAGGGUGCGUAGGCGGUCUGUUAAGUCAGCGGUAAAAUUGCGGGGCUCAACCCCGUCGAGCCGUUGAAACUGGCAGACUUGAGUUGGCGAGAAGUACGCGGAAUGCGCGGUGUAGCGGUGAAAUGCAUAGAUAUCGCGCAGAACUCCGAUUGCGAAGGCAGCGUACCGGCGCCACACUGACGCUGAGGCACGAAAGCGUGGGGGUCGAACAGG